This 374-nucleotide ribosomal RNA is filed under the name uncultured bacterium. Its description in RNAcentral is "bacterial SSU rRNA". It matches the Rfam family "Bacterial small subunit ribosomal RNA", at positions 524 to 898 of the family's 1533-position model. The record is from RNAcentral.
UACGUAGGGUGCAAGCGUUAAUCGGAAUUACUGGGCGUAAAGCGUGCGCAGGCGGUUGUAUAAGACAGAUGUGAAAUCCCCGGGCUCAACCUGGGAACUGCAUUUGUGACUGUACAGCUGGAGUGCGGCAGAGGGGGAUGGAAUUCCGCGUGUAGCAGUGAAAUGCGUAGAUAUGCGGAGGAACACCGAUGGCGAAGGCAAUCCCCUGGGCCUGCACUGACGCUCAUGCACGAAAGCGUGGGGAGCAAACAGGAUUAGAUACCCUGGUAGUCCACGCCCUAAACGAUGUCAACUGGUUGUUGGGAGGGUUUCUUCUCAGUAACGAAGCUAACGCGUGAAGUUGACCGCCUGGGGAGUACGGCCGCAAGGUUGAA